GUAGGUGAACCUGCGGAAGGAUCAUUAUCGAGAGGGGGGUUCUCGCACCCCAGGGGUUUUGCCCCGCACCUUUCCACCCUGUGUGUAUUCUCCUUCGUUGCUUUGGCGGGCCCCGGGGCUUGGCCCCGGCGCGGGUCCCUCUAUGGAGGCCCCCGCGCGCGCCCGUCAGGGACCCAUUUAAAAUCUGUCUUAUCGGUGUUGUCUGAGCUUAUGAAUAAUCAAACUAAAACUUUCAACAACGGAUCUCUUG
This 250-nucleotide unclassified non-coding RNA is filed under the name plant metagenome. RNAcentral describes it as "partial contains small subunit ribosomal RNA, internal transcribed spacer 1, and 5.8S ribosomal RNA". The record is from RNAcentral.